UUUGGUGACUAUACCGCAAGGGCUCCACCUCUUCCCAUUCCGAACAGAGAAGUUAAGCCUUGCAGGGCCGAUGAUACUUGGUGGUUAACACACGGGAAAGUAGGUCGUCGCCAGGG
RNAcentral lists this ribosomal RNA (116 nucleotides) under Bacteroidota bacterium. The record is from RNAcentral. Lineage: Bacteria; Pseudomonadati; Bacteroidota.